ACCCUAUUAUAAAAAAUAUAAAUUAAGUUAUUAGAGUAGUAUUAGUUAUAUUCUUGAAAUUUAAAAAAUUUGGCGGUAUUUUAGUCUUUUCAGAGGAACCUGUUUUGUAAUCGAUAAUCCACGAUUAAUUUUACUUAAUUUACAAGUUUAUAUAUCGUCGUAGAUAGAAUAUUAUAAUAAUAUAAAUAAUAUUCAUAAUUUAUAAUUAAUAAAAGAAAUCAGAUCAAGGUGUAGUUUAUAAUUAAGGAGUAAUGGGUUACAAUAAAAUUAUUUAAAAAUGGUUUUAAUAAUUAAAAUUAUUAAAUAAAGUGGAUUUGGAAGUAAUAUAUUUAAUUUAAAAUAUAUGAUAAAAGCUCUAAAAUAUG
This 365-nucleotide ribosomal RNA is filed under the name Helictopleurus neoamplicollis. RNAcentral describes it as "partial 12S ribosomal RNA". Lineage: Eukaryota; Metazoa; Arthropoda; Insecta; Coleoptera; Scarabaeidae. The record is from RNAcentral.